AUUGAACGCUGGCGGCAGGCCUAACACAUGCAAGUCGAGCGGAUGAAGGGAGCUUGCUCCUGGAUUCAGCGGCGGACGGGUGAGUAAUGCCUAGGAAUCUGCCUGGUAGUGGGGGAUAACGUCCGGAAACGGGCGCUAAUACCGCAUACGUCCUGAGGGAGAAAGUGGGGGAUCUUCGGACCUCACGCUAUCAGAUGAGCCUAGGUCGGAUUAGCUAGUUGGUGGGGUAAAGGCCUACCAAGGCGACGAUCCGUAACUGGUCUGAGAGGAUGAUCAGUCACACUGGAACUGAGACACGGUCCAGACUCCUACGGGAGGCAGCAGUGGGGAAUAUUGGACAAUGGGCGAAAGCCUGAUCCAGCCAUGCUGCGUGUGUGAAGAAGGUCUUCGGAUUGUAAAGCACUCUAAGUUGGGAGGAAGGGCAGUAAGUUAAUACCUUGCUGUUUUGACGUUACCAACAGAAUAAGCACCGGCUAACUUCGUG
Molecule: ribosomal RNA, 484 nt
Filed under: uncultured bacterium
Lineage: Bacteria
Description: partial 16S ribosomal RNA
Rfam family: Bacterial small subunit ribosomal RNA
Source: RNAcentral